This 253-nucleotide ribosomal RNA is filed under the name uncultured bacterium. RNAcentral's name for it is "partial 16S ribosomal RNA". It matches the Rfam family "Bacterial small subunit ribosomal RNA", at positions 524 to 776 of the family's 1533-position model. The record is from RNAcentral.
UACGAAGGGGGCUAGCGUUGCUCGGAAUCACUGGGCGUAAAGGGCGCGUAGGCGGUUUGUACAGUCAGACGUGAAAUUCCUGGGCUCAACCUGGGGGCUGCGUUUGAUACGUGCAGACUUGAGUUCGGAAGAGGGUCGUGGAAUUCCCAGUGUAGAGGUGAAAUUCGUAGAUAUUGGGAAGAACACCGGUGGCGAAGGCGGCGACCUGGUCCGAUACUGACGCUGAGGCGCGAAAGCGUGGGGAGCAAACAGG